GUUGGGGUGGCAGAGCCCGGAAUUGCAAAAGAUCUAAGCCCUUUCAACAAGGGUUCAAAUCCCUUCCCUAACU
Molecule: transfer RNA, 73 nt
Filed under: Plectropomus leopardus (leopard coralgrouper)
Lineage: Eukaryota; Metazoa; Chordata; Actinopteri; Perciformes; Serranidae
Also listed under: 1 other name
Description: tRNA-Leu
Rfam family: tRNA
About the family: Transfer RNA (tRNA) molecules are approximately 80 nucleotides in length. Their secondary structure includes four short double-helical elements and three loops (D, anti-codon, and T loops).
Source: RNAcentral